Molecule: ribosomal RNA, 405 nt
Filed under: uncultured bacterium
Lineage: Bacteria
Description: partial 16S ribosomal RNA
Rfam family: Bacterial small subunit ribosomal RNA
Source: RNAcentral
AUUGAACGCUGCGGCAGGCCUAACACAUGCAAGUCGAGCGAGCGCCGGACGGGUGAGUAAUGCUUAUGAAUCUGCCUAUUAGUGGGGGACAACAUUUAGAAAGGGAAGCUAAUACUGCUUACUAAUAGAUUAGCCUAAGUCGGAUUAGCCAGUUGGUGGGGUAAAGGCCUACCAAGGGGACGAUCAGUAGCGGGUCUGAGAGGAUGAUCAGCCAAACGGGAACUGAGACACGGUCCAGACUCCUACGGGAGGCAGCAGUGGGGAAUAUUGCACAAUGGGCGCAAGCCUGAUGCAGCCAUGCCGCGUGUGUGAAGAAGGCCUUCGGGUUGUAAAGCACUUUCAGCGGGGAGGCGUUACCCGCAGAAGAAGCACCGGCUAACUCCGUGCCAGCAGCCGCGGUAAUUC